AGCGGAGGAAAAGAAACUAACCAGGAUUGCCCUAGUAACGGCGAGUGAAGCGGCAACAGCCCACACUGAAAAUCGCUUCGGCGAGUUGUACAGUGCAGACGUGAACCUCGCACUUUGCGACCUUUGUAACUCCCUUGGAAUAGGGGACCGGAGAGGGUUAUAGUCCCGUAACAGAGGCUGCAGGGUGACAGGCCGCGUUUAAAGAGUCGGGUAGUUUGGGAUUGCUGCCCUAAGUGGGAGGUAGACUCCUCCUAAGGCUAAAUACUAGCGAGAGACCGAUAGUGGACAAGUACUGUGAAGGAAAGAUGAAAAGAACUUUGGAAAGAGAGUUAAAAGACUUGAAACCGCUAAGGAGGAAGCAGUCUGCCGAGCAUAGCCCCAGAAUGAGAAAAAAGCGGUGCUCUGAGCGAGGCCGUAAAAUGAAUCAUCUGGAGUGCUCGGUAUACUGGCCCGUCUUGAAACACGGACCAAGGAGUCCAGCCUAUGUGCAAGUAGAAAGAGGAUAACUCUAGAUGCGCAACGAAAGUAAUCUCUGUAGCAGCAGAGGCCGCGAUAGCGAGCUCAGCAGAUAGGCUGGGACCCGAAAGAUGGUGAACUAUGCUUGGGAAAGGCGAAGCCAGGGGAAACUCUGGUGGAGGCUUGUAGAGGUACUGACGUGCAAAUCGUUCUUCUGACCUGAGUAUAGGGGCGAAAGACUUAUCGAACCAUCUAGUAGCUGGUUCCCUCCGAAAUUUCCCUCAGGAUAGCAAGAGCAGAGCAGUUUUACCGGGUAAAGCGAAUGAUUAGAGGUUCGGGGGUUGAAAUGACCUUCACCUAUUCUCAAACUUUAAAUUGGUAAGAUGAGGCCGUUACUUAAGUGAACAGCUUCUUGAAUGCAUAGCUCUUAGUGGGCCAUUUUUGGUAAGCAGAACUGGCAACGAGGGGUCAACCUAAGGAAGGGUUGAGGCGACAAAUUGACUGCUUCUAGAUGGAAAGGUGUUGGUUCAUUUAGACAGUAGGACGGUGGCC
This 1008-nucleotide ribosomal RNA is filed under the name Condylostoma spatiosum. RNAcentral's name for it is "partial 28S ribosomal RNA". It matches the Rfam family "Eukaryotic large subunit ribosomal RNA", at positions 49 to 1253 of the family's 3401-position model. The record is from RNAcentral. Lineage: Eukaryota; Ciliophora; Heterotrichea; Heterotrichida; Condylostomatidae.